GACGAACGCUGGCGGCGUGCUUAACACAUGCAAGUCGAGCGGAAAGGCCACUUCGGUGGUACUCGAGCGGCGAACGGGUGAGUAACACGUGAGUAAUCUGCCCCUCACUUUGGGAUAGCCACCGGAAACGGUGAUUAAUACCGGAUAUGACCAUAUGUCGCAUGGCGUGUGGUGGAAAGGUUUUCGGUGAGGGAUGUGCUCGCGGCCUAUCAGCGUGAUGGUGGGGUAAUGGCUCACCAUGGCUUCGACGGGUAGACGGCCUGAGAGGGUGACCGGUCACACUGGGAGUGAGACACGGCCCAGACUCCUACGGGAGGCAGCAGUGGGGAAUAUUGGACGAAGGGCGGAAGCGUGAUCCAGCAACGCCGCGUGAGGGAUGACAGCCUUCGGGUUGUAAACCUCUUUCAGUACCGACGAAGCGCAAGGGACGGUAGGGACAGAAGAAGCACCGGCCAACUACGU
This 462-nucleotide ribosomal RNA is filed under the name uncultured bacterium. RNAcentral's name for it is "partial 16S ribosomal RNA". It matches the Rfam family "Bacterial small subunit ribosomal RNA", at positions 28 to 506 of the family's 1533-position model. The record is from RNAcentral.